AACGAACGCUGGCGGCAUGCCUAACACAUGCAAGUCGAACGAGAUCUUCGGGUCUAGUGGCGCACGGGUGCGUAACGCGUGGGAAUCUGCCCUUUGGUUCGGAAUAACAGUUGGAAACGACUGCUAAUACCGGAUGAUGACGAAAGUCCAAAGAUUUAUCGCCAGAGGAUGAGCCCGCGUAGGAUUAGCUAGUUGGUGUGGUAAAGGCGCACCAAGGCGACGAUCCUUAGCUGGUCUGAGAGGAUGAUCAGCCACACUGGGACUGAGACACGGCCCCGAGUCCUACGGGAGGCAGCAGUGGGGAAUAUUGGACAAUGGGCGAAAGCCUGAUCCAGCAAUGCCGCGUGGGUGAUGAAGGCCUUAGGGUUGUAAAGCUCUUUUACCCGGGAUGAUAAUGACAGUACCGGGAGAAUAAGCUCCGGCUAACUCCGUGCCAGCCGCCGCCGUAA
Molecule: ribosomal RNA, 449 nt
Filed under: uncultured bacterium
Lineage: Bacteria
Description: partial 16S ribosomal RNA
Rfam family: Bacterial small subunit ribosomal RNA
Source: RNAcentral